RNAcentral lists this ribosomal RNA (403 nucleotides) under uncultured bacterium. Its description in RNAcentral is "partial 16S ribosomal RNA". It matches the Rfam family "Bacterial small subunit ribosomal RNA", at positions 30 to 526 of the family's 1533-position model. The record is from RNAcentral.
AUUGAACGCUGGCGGCAGGCCUAACACAUGCAAGUCGAGCGAGCGGCGGACGGGUGAGUAAUGUAUGGGGACUGCCCGAUAGAGGGGGAUAAAUACUGGAAACGGUGGCUAAUACCGCAUACUAUCGGAUAACCCAUAUGGGAUUAGCUAGUAGGUGGGGUAAAGGCUCACCUAGGCGACGAUCUCUAGCUGGUCUGAGAGGAUGAUCAGCCACACUGGGACUGAGACAUGGCCCAGACUCCUACGGAGGCAGCAGUAGGGAAUAUUGGGCAAUGGACGCAAGCCUGACGCAGCCAUGCCGCGUGUAUGAAGAAGGCCUUAGGGUUGUAAAGUACUUUCAGCAGGGAGGCGUUACCCGAAGAAGAAGCACCUGCUAACUCCGUGCCAGCAGCCGCGGUAAUUC